Molecule: long non-coding RNA, 1241 nt
Organism: Eriocheir sinensis (Chinese mitten crab)
Lineage: Eukaryota; Metazoa; Arthropoda; Malacostraca; Decapoda; Varunidae
Exons: 3
Source: RefSeq, a predicted model, not a curated record
GAUGUAGGGUGUAGAUAUCUGACAGUAAAGAGUAGCCAAAAGAGAGGUCAAGUAGACAACAGAGAGAGAGACAAUAAAAAGGUGUUGGUGGGACUGAGGUAGAAUAGCGAGGAGGGGACCAGCAGGAGACAAAACAAAACGAUCUCUGGUUUCACAAUAUUGCGGCCCUUGUUUUUCUUUCUUCCGCCACCAUCAACACGACAAAAACAACAACAAAAGAAGCAGGGGUAGGUAAGGUAAGGAUGGCCAGGUAGGGGUGACGGAUAGAAGGAAGGAAAAACGGAAGGAAGGGUCUGAUAAUACGCCUCUCCUUUCGCUUCUGUUCCUUCACCACCACGACAAAAACAACAACAAAAGAAGCAGGGGUAGGUAAGGUAAGGAUGGCCAGGUAGAGGUGACGGAAAGAAGGAAGGAAAAAAGGAAGGAGGGGUCUUAUAAUGCGCCUCUCCUUUUGCUUCUGUUCCUUCACCACCAUCACCACCACGACAAAAACAACAACAAAACAAACAGAAGCGGCGGUAGGUAAGUUAAAGACGGACAGCAAAGGGGUGAUGGAGUGAGGGAAAGAAGGAAGGAGGGUCUCACAACAGGCCUCUCCCAUCGCUCCUGUUCCCUAUACACUGACAGCAUUAACACUACAACAGCAACAACAACAUGAGCAGAAGCGGCGGUAGGUAAGGUAAAGAUGGACAGCAGGGGGGUGACUUGAGAGAAGGAAAGAAAGAAGGAAGGAAGGUCUCACAACACGACUCUCCCUUCGCUCCUGUUUCCUAUACACUGACAGCAUCAACAAACGUUCUUCAGAGGGAGGCGCUGGUGGAGUUUGUUGACUUAGUACACCUUGCCUUGCCUCCUAGACUUGUGAGAAGGGUGAUUUUGGGGAAGUUUCGGGGCGUGUAGGGGAAGGUAGUGGUAUUAGGAUCAUGUUAUUAUUAUUUUUUUUUUUUUUACAACAAAGGAGACAGCUCAAGGGCACAAAAAAAGGAAGCAAUAAUAAAUAAAUAAAAAAGCCCGCUACUCGAUUAGACGUUUUCAGCUCUCAUAACAACGAUUUACAAAGACCACAAAGGAGAUUAGUCGGGUGUUAGUGAGGAAGGAAUAUAGGUAGGAAGGUCUUUCAUAACACCGUCCUUCCUUCGUUUCUGUUCCUUCAUAACCAUCCUCCUUUCCUUUAUUUUCCUUUCUUUCCUUUACCUUACCUUACUAUUAUCCUUCCUUCCUUCUGAUCUAACUUCCCUUUA